Molecule: non-coding RNA, 432 nt
Organism: Triticum aestivum (bread wheat)
Lineage: Eukaryota; Viridiplantae; Streptophyta; Magnoliopsida; Poales; Poaceae
Source: Rfam
GGUCCACCUCUGGUGGUUGCUUUAUAUAAUAUAAAGCCGAUAAAACCUUUUUCGUCGUAGGAGGGUCAAGGGAAUACGAGCAACAGACGCACAGACAUAUCAGAGGACUGUUGCAACACACUGAGGAGUAAAAUAAGAAAUCUGCCCAAGAAGGGGCUCGUGGCUAUUAGCUAGUUGGUGAGGCAAUAGCUUACCAAGGCGAUGCUCAGUAGCUAACCCGAGAGGAUGAUCAGCCAUACUAGGGCUGAGAUGCGGCUCAGACUCCUACGCGAGGCAGCAGUGGGGAACUUUGCUCAAUGGGUAAAAUCCUGACGAAGCAAUGCCGCGUGGAGGUGGAAGGCCUACAUGUCGUCAACACCUGCCGAGCAUGUCCGAACGCGUGUAAUAGGGUGAUGUACAGGCACCCCACAAUCUGUCGAACAGGUGAUGUCC